UGGUGAGGUAACGGCUCACCAAGGCGACGAUGCGUAGCCGACCUGAGAGGGUGAUCGGCCACACUGGGACUGAGACACGGCCCAGACUCCUACGGGAGGCAGCAGUAGGGAAUCUUCCGCAAUGGACGAAAGUCUGACGGAGCAACGCCGCGUGAGUGAUGAAGGUUUUCGGAUCGUAAAGCUCUGUUGUUAGGGAAGAACAAGUGCAAGAGUAACUGCUUGCACCUUGACGGUACCUAACCAGAAAGCCACGGCUAACUACGUGCCAGCAGCCGCGGUAAUACGUAGGUGGCAAGCGUUGUCCGGAAUUAUUGGGCGUAAAGGGCUCGCAGGCGGUUUCUUAAGUCUGAUGUGAAAGCCCCCGGCUCAACCGGGGAGGGUCAUUGGAAACUGGGAAACUUGAGUGCAGAAGAGGAGAGUGGAAUUCCACGUGUAGCGGUGAAAUGCGUAGAGAUGUGGAGGAACACCAGUGGCGAAGGCGACUCUCUGGUCUGUAACUGACGCUGAGGAGCGAAAGCGUGGGGAGCGAACAGGAUUAGAUACCCUGGUAGUCCACGCCGUAAACGAUGAGUGCUAAGUGUUAGGGGGGAUCC
RNAcentral lists this ribosomal RNA (593 nucleotides) under Bacillus sp. Pd-E-(l)-l-N-2(5). RNAcentral describes it as "bacterial SSU rRNA". It matches the Rfam family "Bacterial small subunit ribosomal RNA", at positions 250 to 835 of the family's 1533-position model. The record is from RNAcentral. Lineage: Bacteria; Bacillati; Bacillota; Bacilli; Caryophanales; Bacillaceae.